UGAAUACGAGACGCUAAGGCGUCGAAGUAGUGUAUGUCAUACUUCCAAGAAAAGCUUGCACUGUCAUAGAUAAAAAACGCCUGUACCAUAACCGACACAGGUGGGUAGGUAGAGUAUACUAAGGGGCGCGAGAUAACUCUCUCUAAGGAACUCGGCAAAAUAACUCCGUAACUUCGGGAGAAGGAGUGCCUUAUUCGUAAGGUUGCAAUAACAAGAUCCAAGCAACUGUUUAUCAAAAACACAGGUCUCCGCUAAGUCGUAAGACGAUGUAUGGGGGCUGACGCCUGCCCAGUGCCAGAAGGUUAAAGAAGUUGGUUAGCAAUUGCGAAGCUGAUAACUGAAGCCCUGGUGAACGGCGGCCGUAACGAUAACGGUCCUAAGGUAGCGAAAUUCCUUGUCGGGUAAGUUCCGACCCGCACGAAAGGCGUAAUGAUUUGGAUACUGUCUCGGAGAGGGGCUCGGUGAAAUAGACUUGUCUGUGAAGAUGCGGACUACCUGCACCAGGACAGAAAGACCCUAUGAAGCUUUACUGUAACUUGAAAUUGAAAUUGGACUUUAUUCGCGCAGUAUAGGUGGGAGGCGUUGAUUAUAAUCUUGUGGGAUUAUUGGAGCCAUCAGUGAGAUACCACUCUUGUAAUGUUAGAUUUCUAACUUUGAAUCAUUAUCUGGUCAAAGAACAGUUUCAGGCGGGCAGUUUGACUGGGGCGGUCGCCUCCUAAACGGUAACGGAGGCGUACAAAGGUUUCCUCUGAACGGUUAGAAAUCGUAUCUAGAGUGUAAAGGCAUAAGGAAGCUUGACUGUGAGACCUACAAGUCGAGCAGGGACGAAAGUCGGUCUUAGUGAUCUGACGGUACUGAGUGGAAAGGCCGUCACUCAACGGAUAAAAGUUACUCUAAGGAUAACAGGCUGAUCUCCCCCAAGAGUUCACAUCGACGGGGAGGUUUGGCACCUCGAUGUCGGCUCAUCGCAUCCUGGGGCGGUAGUACGUCCCAAGGGUUGGGCUGUUCGCCCAUGAAAGCGGUACGCGAGCUGGGUUCAGAACGUCGUGAGACAGUUCGGUCCAUAUCCGGUGUAGGCGUUAGAAUAUUGAGAGGAGCCUUCUUUAGUACGAGAGGACCGAGAAGGACAUACCUCUGGUGUACCAGUUAUCGUGCCAACGGUAAACGCUGGGUAGCUAUGUAUGGAGUGGAUAACCGCUGAAAGCAUCUAAGUGGGAAGCCCACCUCAAGAUAAGUA
Molecule: ribosomal RNA, 1237 nt
Filed under: metagenome
Description: bacterial LSU rRNA
Rfam family: Bacterial large subunit ribosomal RNA
Source: RNAcentral